This 102-nucleotide non-coding RNA is filed under the name Drosophila pseudoobscura. Lineage: Eukaryota; Metazoa; Arthropoda; Insecta; Diptera; Drosophilidae. RNAcentral also lists the same sequence under 1 other name. The record is from miRBase by way of RNAcentral.
GUGUUUUCUACGAUCGAAGUAAUUUCCGGGAAUGCGCUGUUGUUGGUGUAUUCGAAAUUCCAGAGCAGAGCAUUCUUCGUCACUACCGCCAUCAACGAGCAU